GUUAAUCGGAAUUACUGGGCGUAAAGCGCGCGUAGGCGGUUUAGCAAGUUGAAUGUGAAAGCCCUGGGCUCAACCUAGGAACUGCAUUCAAAACUACUAAGCUAGAGUACGAGAGAGGAGAGUAGAAUUUCUGGUGUAGCGGUGAAAUGCGUAGAUAUCAGAAGGAAUACCAAUGGCGAAGGCAGCUCUCUGGCUCGUCACUGACGCUAAGGUGCGAAAGCGUGGGUAGCAAACAGGAUUAGAUACCCUGGUAGUCCACGCCGUAAACGAUGAGAACUAGCCGUUGGGCAGAAUUUAACUGUUCAGUGGCACAGCUAACGCAUUAAGUUCUCCGCCUGGGGAGUACGGCCGCAAGGCUAAAACUCAAAUGAAUUGACGGGGGCCCGCACAAGUGGUGGAGCAUGUGGUUUAAUUCGAUGCAACGCGAAGAACCUUACCUACCCUUGAAAUCCAGCGAAGUUUUCAGAGAUGAGAAUGUGCCUUCGGGAACGCUGUGACAGGUGUUGCAUGGCUGUCGUCAGCUCGUGUCGUGAGAUGUAUGGUUAAGUCCAGUAACGAGCGCAACCCCUAUCCUUAUUUGCCAGCGCGUAAAGGCGGGAACUAUAGGGAGACUGCCGGGUGAAACCCGGAGGAAGGCGGGGACGAGGUCAAGUCAUCAUGGCCCUUAUGGGUAGGGCUACACACGUGCUACAAUGGGAAGUACAGAGGGACGCUAAAGCGCGAGCUGGAGCUAAACCCUUAAAACUUUUCUUAGUCCGGAUUGGAGUCUGCAACUCGACUCCAUGAAGUCGGAAUCACUAGUAAUCGCGAAUCAGAAUGUCGCGGUGAAUACGUUCUCGGGCCUUGUACACACCGCCCGUCACAUCAUGGAAGUGGGUUGCACCAGAAGUGGUUUGUCUAACCUUUGGAAGACGAUCACCACGGUGUGAUUCAUGACUGGGAUGAAGUCGUAACAAGGUAGCCCUAGGG
This 969-nucleotide ribosomal RNA is filed under the name marine metagenome. RNAcentral's name for it is "bacterial SSU rRNA". It matches the Rfam family "Bacterial small subunit ribosomal RNA", at positions 540 to 1507 of the family's 1533-position model. The record is from RNAcentral.